AGAGUUUGAUCCUGGCUCAGGACGAACGCUGGCGGCACGCUUAACACAUGCAAGUCGAACGAGAGAAGAGGAGCUUGCUUUUCUGAUCUAGUGGCGGACGGGUGAGUAACACGUGAGCAAUCUGCCUUUCAGAGGGGGAUACCGAUUGGAAACGAUCGUUAAUACCGCAUAACAUAAUUGAACCGCAUGAUUUGAUUAUCAAAGAUUUAUCGCUGAAAGAUGAGCUCGCGUCUGAUUAGCUAGUUGGUAAGGUAACGGCUUACCAAGGCGACGAUCAGUAGCCGGACUGAGAGGUUGAUCGGCCACAUUGGGACUGAGACACGGCCCAGACUCCUACGGGAGGCAGCAGUGGGGAAUAUUGCACAAUGGAGGAAACUCUGAUGCAGCGAUGCCGCGUGAGGGAAGAAGGUUUUAGGAUUGUAAACCUCUGUCUUCAGGGACGAAAAAAGACGGUACCUGAGGAGGAAGCUCCGGCUAACUACGUGCCAGCAGCCGCGGUAAUACGUAGGGAGCGAGCGUUGUCCGGAAUUACUGGGUGUAAAGGGAGCGUAGGCGGGAUCGCAAGUCAGAUGUGAAAACUAUGGGCUUAACCCAUAAACUGCAUUUGAAACUGUGGUUCUUGAGUGAAGUAGAGGUAAGCGGAAUUCCUAGUGUAGCGGUGAAAUGCGUAGAUAUUAGGAGGAACAUCAGUGGCGAAGGCGGCUUACUGGGCUUUAACUGACGCUGAGGCUCGAAAGCGUGGGGAGCAAACAGGAUUAGAUACCCUGGUAGUCCAUGCCGUAAACGAUGAUUACUAGGUGUGGGGGGACUGACCCCUUCCGUGCCGCAGCAAACGCAAUAAGUAAUCCACCUGGGGAGUACGACCGCAAGGUUGAAACUCAAAGGAAUUGACGGGGGCCCGCACAAGCAGUGGAGUAUGUGGAUUAAUUCGAAGCAACGCGAAGAGCCUUACCAGGUCUUGACAUCGUAUGCAUAGCUCAGAGAUGAGUGAAAUCUCUUCGGAGACAUAUAGACAGGUGGUGCAUGGUUGUCGUCAGCUCGUGUCGUGAGAUGUUGGGUUAAGUCCCGCAACGAGCGCAACCCUUACUGUUAGUUGCUACGCAAGAGCACUCUAGCAGGACUGCCGUUGACAAAACGGAGGAAGGUGGGGAUGACGUCAAAUCAUCAUGCCCCUUAUGACCUGGGCCUCACACGUACUACAAUGGCUGUCAACAGAGGGAAGCAAAGCCGCGAGGUGGAGCGAACCCCUAAAAGCAGUCUUAGUUCGGAUUGUAGGCUGCAACCCGCCUACAUGAAGUCGGAAUUGCUAGUAAUCGCAGAUCAGCAUGCUGCGGUGAAUACGUUCCCGGGCCUUGUACACACCGCCCGUCACGCCAUGGGAGUCGGUAACACCCGAAGCCUGUAGUCUAACCGCAAGGAGGACGCAGUCGAAGGUGGGAUUGAUGACUGGGGUGAAGUCGUAACAAGGUA
Molecule: ribosomal RNA, 1470 nt
Filed under: metagenome
Description: bacterial SSU rRNA
Rfam family: Bacterial small subunit ribosomal RNA
Source: RNAcentral